CCUCUAAGCACAUUUAGGAGCUCUGGCGGCACAGUGGUUAGAAGGCAGUAUUGCAGGCAAACUCUGUCCAUAGACUGGAGUUCGAUCCUGACUGGCGCAAGAUUGACUCGUCCUUCCAUCCUUCCGAGCUUUUUCUUGCUCAGAAGUUUUUUACACCUGUUAAAAAAAAAGAUGGUGCAAAGAUCUUUUGCCACUGUACUUUAGAAAACUUGUGUUUCACCUCUUAGCAGAUCCUAAACCCAUCCAGAAAUAUCAUGAAAUGCUCACAACUACUGCACUUUCAAUGGACACAAGAACUGUACAGAGACUUUCAACCAUCAACUAAAUCCAUUUUCCAGUUUUCCAACAAUAGUGUCUGCACCGAACUGACGGAAACGCGCAUAACCACUCAAAGGCAGCCGAGACAGACAAUACCCUCAACUCUUAGUGUUACCGGGUUGUCAAUAGGUCAACUAUUUUCAAAGCGAGAGGAAAAAUAAAAGUCCAAUCGGCGAAUUAUA
Molecule: long non-coding RNA, 500 nt
Organism: Pantherophis guttatus
Lineage: Eukaryota; Metazoa; Chordata; Lepidosauria; Squamata; Colubridae
Source: RefSeq, a predicted model, not a curated record